GAUCGACGGUGGCUUAAACAGCAAUUCGAACGGUAGACGGGAGUUCGGUCCCGGAGUCCAGCGGCGGACGGGUGAGUAAUGCUAGGAACUGCUGGUAGCGGGGGACAACGACGCGAAAGGGACGCUAAUACCGCUACGCCUACGGGGGAAAGCAGGGGACCGCAAGACCUUGCGUAUUAGAGCAGCCGAGGUCGGAUUAGCUAGUUGGUGAGGUAACGGCUCACCAAGGCGACGAUCCGUAACUGGUUUGAGAGGACGACCAGUCACACUGGAACUGAGACACGGCCCAGACUCCUACGGGAGGCAGCAGUGGGGAAUUUUGGACAAUGGGCGAAACCCUGAUCCAGCCAUGCCGCGUGUGCGAAGAAGGCCUUCGGGUUGUAAAGCACUUUAGGUUGGGAAGAAAGGCCGUGAAUUAAUACUUUGCUGAUUUGACGUUACCGGCAGAAUAAGCACCGGCUAACUAUGUGCCAGCAGCCGCGGUAAUACAGAGGGUGCAAGCGUUAAUCGGAAUUACUGGGCGUAAAGCGCGCGUAGGUGGUUUGUAAAGUUGGAUGUGAAAGCCCCGGCUUAACUCUGGAACUGGCUUUUUAACUACACAGCUAGAGUUUGGGAAAAGGAGGGGGAAAUCCGCGGGGAGCAGGGAAAUGCCUAAAUUUUGCGGAAGGACACCCAUUGGCGAAAGGCGCCUCCUGGGACAACACUUGGCGCUCAAGCAGCAAAGGCGGGGGAGGCAAACGGGUUAAAAACCCCGGGAGGCCCCCCCCUAAAAACAAGUUAACUAAGCGUUGGGGCGCUUUGACCUUUUUAUCGCACCUCACACGCGAAAUUUUCAGCCUCUGGGAGUGCGCUCCCACGAGUAUAAACACUCAGGUAUUUGUCACGGACCCCGCCACAAGCGCCGGGGGAUCGUGUGUUUAUUUAUUAUGCGCCGACGCAAAACACUCAUCCUCCCCUUCGUCACGUCUGGGUAUAGCUGUAACAGAGUUGGGAAGUGGUUGCUCUACGAGAACCAGUGAACAACAGGUAGCUGGCAUGGACUGUCGUCAGCUCGUGUCGUCGAGAUGGAUAGGGGUUUAAGUUACCCCAGCAACCGAGGCGGCCAACCCUUCGUCACUUUAAGUUGACUACGCGACGGUGACUGCGUUCGUGACUCAUGUACUAGGCCGAUCAUACCAGGCCUGGCACGACACGCGUCUAGGCAGAAAUGAUCCAGUGAUGAU
This 1223-nucleotide ribosomal RNA is filed under the name Achromobacter spanius. RNAcentral describes it as "bacterial SSU rRNA". The stretch from base 1 to 928 matches the Rfam family "Bacterial small subunit ribosomal RNA". Lineage: Bacteria; Pseudomonadati; Pseudomonadota; Betaproteobacteria; Burkholderiales; Alcaligenaceae. The record is from RNAcentral.